CCCUUAGAUGUCCUGGGCCGCACGCGCGCUACAAUGACACGUUCAGCAAGUUUCGCCCUGACCUGGAAAGGCUCGGGUAAUCUUGGUAAUACGUGUCGUGUUAGGGAUAGAUCUUUGGAAUUAUGGAUCUUGAACGAGGAAUUCCUAGUAAGUGCAAGUCAUCAGCUUGUACUGAUUACGUCCCUGCCCUUUGUACACACCGCCCGUCGCUCCUACCGAUUUCGAGUGGUCCGGUGAACCUUUUGGACUGCGCAAGCGGAAAGCUAAGUAAACCUUAUCACUUAGAGGAAGGAGAAGUCGUAACA
This 305-nucleotide ribosomal RNA is filed under the name uncultured eukaryote. RNAcentral describes it as "partial 18S ribosomal RNA". It matches the Rfam family "Eukaryotic small subunit ribosomal RNA", at positions 1470 to 1796 of the family's 1831-position model. The record is from RNAcentral.